AGAACGAACGCUGGCGGCAGGCUUAACACAUGCAAGUCGAGCGCCGUAGAAAUACGGAGCGGCAGACGGGUGAGUAACGCGUGGGAACAUACCCUUCGGUUCGGAAUAAUUCAGGGAAACUUGGACUAAUACCGGAUACGGACGAGAGUCGAAAGAUUUAUCGCCGAAGGAUUGGCCCGCGUUCGAUUAGCUAGUUGGUGUGGUAACGGCGCACCAAGGCGACGAUCGAUAGCUGGUCUGAGAGGAUGAUCAGCCACAUUGGGACUGAGACACGGCCCAAACUCCUACGGGAGGCAGCAGUGAGGAAUUUCCGCAAUGGGCGAAAGCCUGACGGAGCGACGCCGCGUGUGGGAAGAAGGCCUUCGGGUCGUAAACCACUGUCGAAGGGGACGAUAAUGACGGUACCCGUUGGAGGAAGCCGUCGGCUAACUACGUGCCAGCAGCCGC
RNAcentral lists this ribosomal RNA (447 nucleotides) under uncultured bacterium. RNAcentral's name for it is "SSU rRNA". It matches the Rfam family "Bacterial small subunit ribosomal RNA", at positions 26 to 518 of the family's 1533-position model. The record is from RNAcentral.